This 253-nucleotide ribosomal RNA is filed under the name uncultured bacterium. RNAcentral's name for it is "partial 16S ribosomal RNA". It matches the Rfam family "Bacterial small subunit ribosomal RNA", at positions 524 to 776 of the family's 1533-position model. The record is from RNAcentral.
UACGAAGGUGGCUAGCGUUGUUCGGAAUUACUGGGCGUAAAGCGUGCGCAGGCGGUUUCUCAAGUCAGGGGUGAAAGCCCGGAGCUCAACUCCGGAAUUGCCUUUGAAACUGUGAAGCUCGAGGGCGGGAGAGGUGAGUGGAAUUCCCAGUGUAGAGGUGAAAUUCGUAGAUAUUGGGAAGAACACAGGUGGCGAAGGCGGCUCACUGGCCCGUUUCUGACGCUCAUGCACGACAGCGUGGGGAUCAAACAGG